AGCGGAGGAAAAGAAACUAACAAGGAUUCCCCUAGUAACUGCGAGUGAAGCGGGAAGAGCUCAAAUUUGAAAUCUCCUUCGGGCGAGUUGUAAACUGGAGAAGCGUUAUCAGACGUCGRCCGCACUAAAGUCUCCUGGAAUGGAGUGUCAUAGAGGGUGAGAAUCCCGUGCUUGGUGCGAUUGCGGCGUUGUAGAGGCGUUUUCUAUGAGUCGAGUUGUUUGGGAAUGCAGCUCAAAAUGGGUGGUAAACUCCAUCUAAAGCUAAAUACUGGCGAGAGACCGAUAGCGAACAAGUACCGUGAGGGAAAGAUGAAAAGGACUUUGGAAAGAGAGUUAAAGAGUACGUGAAAUUGCUGAAAGGGAAGCGCUUGGAGUGAGUCGCGCGGGCGGGAGUCAGCUCUGCGUACUUCCUGCCCGUGGGCCAGCAUCGACCUUGGACGGCGGAUAAGGGCGGUGGGAAUGUGGCAUCUCCGGAUGUGUUAUAGCCUGCUGUCGUACACGCCGACCGGGGUCGAGGACUGCUUAUAGGAUGCUGGCGUAAUGGCUCUAAGCGACCCGUCUUGAAACACGGACCC
This 575-nucleotide ribosomal RNA is filed under the name uncultured Dacrymycetes. RNAcentral describes it as "eukaryotic LSU rRNA". It matches the Rfam family "Eukaryotic large subunit ribosomal RNA", at positions 49 to 668 of the family's 3401-position model. Lineage: Eukaryota; Fungi; Basidiomycota; Dacrymycetes. The record is from RNAcentral.